UGAGGAAUAUUGCGCAAUGGGGGCAACCCUGACGCAGCGACGCCGCGUGAGUGAGGAAGGCCUUCGGGUCGUAAAGCUCUGUCAAAGGGAAAGAAGUGCAUGAUGGUUAAUACCUGUCAUGUUUGACGGUACCCUUAAAGGAAGCACCGGCUAACUCCGUGCCAGCAGCCGCGGUAAUACGGAGGGUGCAAGCGUUGUUCGGAAUCACUGGGCGUAAGGGGCGCGUAGGCGGUUUGAUAAGUCAGAUGUGAAAGCCCACGGCUUAACUGUGGAAGUGCAUUUGAAACUGUCAGACUUGAGUAGCAGAGGGGAAAGUGGAAUUCCCGGUGUAGAGGUGAAAUUCGUAGAUAUCGGGAGGAAUACCGGUGGCGAAGGCGACUUUCUGGCUGAAUACUGACGCUGAGGCACGAAAGCGUGGGGAGCAAACA
RNAcentral lists this ribosomal RNA (428 nucleotides) under uncultured prokaryote. RNAcentral's name for it is "bacterial SSU rRNA". It matches the Rfam family "Bacterial small subunit ribosomal RNA", at positions 355 to 774 of the family's 1533-position model. The record is from RNAcentral.